CCAGUAUGGUGGAUUUGACACUCGACUUAUAAUCGAGUGGACUCGGGUUCGAAUCCCGGAAAAGGGA
Molecule: non-coding RNA, 67 nt
Organism: Trichonephila clavipes
Lineage: Eukaryota; Metazoa; Arthropoda; Arachnida; Araneae; Nephilidae
Source: the annotation of a GenBank genome assembly